ACAAAACAUAAACAAACAAACAGAAAAAAACCCCAAACCACCAAAAACCCCCCAACAACCAAAACCAAAAUAAAACAAAAGCAAGUUAUUUCAUGUCACAUUCACGGGAAGUCGUGGAAGGCAUGGGAACAGCGGGAAAAAUGUUUAAGAACCUGGGAAAGCAUAUUACACCACAUAACCAUCUUCCUCCAACAAAGCACAAGGUCGACUAAACAGCACAGGCAAAGACAAUUCGGCACGCAAAGCACAGGAAUACUGACUUCAGGCCAUGUGGCCAGGUCUCAGCAGGAACCAACUCGACUCUUCUCCAGCUGCUUCUGUCACAUGCUACACAUAGAGACAAGUACUUUGCUGUCCCCGAGUUAGAACAACAUAGUAAAUUUGCUUCGGAUUGGUUUGUGCUUUCUUAAGGUAAUGCAAACACACUCAGAUAAUAGCCAAAAGUUUGUUUACAAUUUACUUUUCAUGGGUGUUCACAUCUGACACGUUCUAGCAGGGAAGCAAAGUGUGGUCAAGUGAAUUCUGAAAACAUGCUGCCACUGGAAGCUGCAUCAACAUUUCCAGAACACAACUGAUCAUACAUUGACUAAUUAUUGUGAUCUAUUCAGGCAUUGAUGCACAGCUAAAAUAUCAAAUCUUAUCAAUUUGUUCACGAAGUUGCCCUGUUCUGAAAGUAAAAAUGGCAUUACAAUAUCCAAAUAGAUGUAACACAAAGACUAGCAGAGCUUCCAGCCAGAGAACACUUGAAUGUGUUUAACAAAUAAGUCUGCACACCCCUUUGCUACAGUUGUCUGAUUUGUGUUAUCACUUGUCACCAAAUGUUAGGAAGCCCAUGACAUUAUCAUUCUGUACCUUGGAAACAAGAAACUGUUAAAGCAUCCAUGACUGGAAAAUUGUAAGAUUAAGAAACUUUUUCAGGCUCUGAAUUAUCAAAUUAACAUAUUUUAAAGAAAUAUAAGAUAUAUGGCAAAGAUAAAGAAUCUUAAUUCAUCAUUCCAUUAAAGAUUACUUUAAAGAUUAUUUUCUUCUUGACACAUGAACAGAAUGCAAUAGUGCUUAAAGAAGCAAAUGAACAAAGCCGAAGACUUAUUUCAUCUCAUUCUGCAGAUGGCAAACAAACAUGACAUCAGUCAGAAAGCUGAGAUAUGCUGCAUUUCUCACAAAUUACUCACCCUCAUUAGAAACAGGUUUUGUAACAUUUAAAUAGGUUUGUUACUUACUUUCCCAGACUAUUACAGGAGCACAGCACAUAAAAUUUGCCUUAUUUUUAGGUUGCUAUUGAUCUUCUUUAUGCAUCACUUAAGUUCUAAAAUGAUGCCAAAUCCUCCAUUCCUUUUAGAGUUAUUUCUGCUACAGAUAUAUGAUGUAUUGUGUUUUGACAGCAAAUGAGACCAAGCUUUGGCAACCAGUAUUGAUUCAGAAGUAAAAAG
Molecule: long non-coding RNA, 1430 nt
Filed under: Ficedula albicollis (Collared flycatcher)
Lineage: Eukaryota; Metazoa; Chordata; Aves; Passeriformes; Muscicapidae
Description: lncRNA (ENSFALG00000025287.1)
Source: RNAcentral